Molecule: ribosomal RNA, 253 nt
Filed under: uncultured bacterium
Lineage: Bacteria
Description: partial 16S ribosomal RNA
Rfam family: Bacterial small subunit ribosomal RNA
Source: RNAcentral
GACAGAGGUGCCAAGCGUUAGGCGGAAUCACUGGGCUUAAAGCGCGUGUAGGUGGCGGCCUAAGUACCUUGUGAAAUCCUGCGGCUCAACCGCAGAACUGCUUGGUAUACUGGGUCGCUUGAGCCAUCCAGGGGCAACUGGAACAAGCGGUGGAGCGGUGAAAUGCGCAGAUAUCAGGAGGAACACCGGUGGCGAAGGCGGGUCUCUGGGCAACAACUGACGCUGAGGAGCGAAAGCGGGGGGAGCGAACAGG